UGUCUGCGCUUCACAUGACCAAACUAUUUCAAUCUCUCUUCUCUCAACUUAUUUUCAAUGCUGUUUCAGACAAUGUUGUUUUAAAAUUUCUAAGUCGCUGAUGUUGCAAUCUUUGGUCUUUCUGUCAUUGUUGUUCCCAAGAAUAGCAAAAGCACUGUAUAUUUACUGUGGUUAUGAUCUCUCUUUUAACUGUUUGACUGCUUGACUCUUUUAGGGAAGGGUUUCCUAUCGAAAUUUGCAAA
This 242-nucleotide unclassified non-coding RNA is filed under the name Hevea brasiliensis (rubber tree). The record is from RNAcentral. Lineage: Eukaryota; Viridiplantae; Streptophyta; Magnoliopsida; Malpighiales; Euphorbiaceae.